Molecule: ribozyme, 79 nt
Filed under: Aedes aegypti (yellow fever mosquito)
Lineage: Eukaryota; Metazoa; Arthropoda; Insecta; Diptera; Culicidae
Description: drz-agam-1 ribozyme
Rfam family: drz-agam-1 ribozyme
Source: Rfam by way of RNAcentral
UGCCCAGCAACUCCUAUCCCUACCUCCUCGCGGUAACCAACCCCCGGUGGGAACUUUGGUCGUAUGCUGACAGGGAAGG